Molecule: non-coding RNA, 76 nt
Organism: Pangasianodon gigas (Mekong giant catfish)
Lineage: Eukaryota; Metazoa; Chordata; Actinopteri; Siluriformes; Pangasiidae
Source: the annotation of a GenBank genome assembly
AGUGGUAGCUCAGUGGUUAAAACAUUGGACUCCUGAUCUGAUUGGAAGGUCAUGAGUUCAAAUCCCAAAACCACCA